AGCUUAGAGUAUGGGGCUUGCUGUUUUCGUCGUCGAGAGGCUUUAGAAAGACAUCUCAAAUACUAAUAGCUGUACUGAGCAGACCCUCUCCUGUACUCAGGAUACAAAGUCGAGUGCAAGUUCUGGAUCUGUGAAGGAAAUGGUGUGCUGAGGAAUAGUACUCAAAAUCUGGGGUCAGAUGUACCAGAUAUCAGAACAAAACACAAAGGACCUAAGUUUGGAUGAGGAUGAUUGCUUCUCAGAAGAAAUUCUUAUUGCCCAGGCCUCUCCUCUGAGAAGGAAGUGGCCAGAACUUCAGAAACAAGCUGAUCUCAAAAAGUGGAAAAGGAUGGAAAGAUAUGAAAGCAAAGAUCAGGCUACUCUGUGAAGGGAGAGCUCUUAAAAACAUCCAGUUAGCACCUAUUUACAAGCCUGGAUUAAAACGGAUCAACUAAGUUACCUUUUCA
Long non-coding RNA from Ornithorhynchus anatinus (platypus), 446 nucleotides. RefSeq lists it as uncharacterized. The transcript is spliced from 5 exons. NCBI's taxonomy places the organism in Eukaryota, Metazoa, Chordata, Mammalia, Monotremata, Ornithorhynchidae. The record is from RefSeq and is a predicted model, not a curated record.